AAAGUGAUGGAUAUUAUCUGGUAUAGAAAGUUGAGCUGACCCAAUCAAAUUUCUGGUAUCUCUGAGCAAUGGCAGCUAAAAAAAAAAAAAAAAAAAAAAGUCUUAAUGAGAUUUAUGCAAAAUGAACUAAUGAGAAGCAGAAGUUAAAGCAGAGGAAAUAGAGUCCUCAAAAAGUGAAAGAAUACAAGGGCACGACAGAAAGAAGCAGACAUGCAAAGAGCAGCUAGGAUCCAGUGAUGAUGGAUCAUCAGAGGAAAGCUCCAUUCACUGAACACAGAGGGCUCCAGGGCAUCUCAAGAUGCAGAACCAACCUAAGGCUCCUGUUCCCCAAAGCUCAGGUGUCUUGUUUUCUCUUUAAUGGCAGCUGGACACAGACUCACUGCAGGCAGCCAUGCUUAUGAUGAAGUAUAACAAAGUCAGACAAAGAGGAGGAUGGACUGAGCCCUUAGUCAAAGGACUGAGCCUACCAGCCAGCUGAUGUCCUGGUACCAUUUGCCCUGAAAGGUGACUGCUUCAGAUUGAGAGUCAUUUGCUAUAGUCUGCCUGUUUAAGAAAGCCCAGUCUCUCCAUAUAUCCAGUCCAUUCUGGGUUAAGUACCAAUAUUGAAUAUUUAUCACUAAGUCCCUUACACGUGAUAUUUAAAUAUGUCAUUUGUUAAUCAAUUGCUAUUAUCAUUUCUAUUGUAAAUCAAUGUUAAGUACUUUCCAUGUAUGGGUUUGUUAGUAUUUUAUGCAUACCCCAUGGACCUGGAAAUUAGAGUAACCUCUUCUGAUUUAAUUGUAGUAGUUUCCAUUCGUCUCUCCUGGAUUUUCAGGGUUCUGUUCAUAGGACUGUCUUGUUUUCCCUUAGACUAGACUUCCGUGAUGGCCAUCAUCAUCAUAAUGUCACCAUAUAUUGGGUACUCACCAUGCUUGAAACAUUGCGUAACUAACACACUAACACUCAUUCAAUUCUGUAAGUUGCUACUUUUAUGAUUACUACUAGUAGUACUACUACCACUAGUACUACUAUUAUUAUUACCUCCAUUUUGUAGUUGAGGAAGUUGAGUCAUAGAGAAGCUUCUUGCCCACAGAUCACAAAACUGGGGAGGGUCGGAGCGAGAAUAUGUAACCUAUGUCUGUGUGACUCCAAAUUCUGAGCCCUCGAGAGCUCCACCAUUUACACUCCUCCCUGUCUAGGACCUAAAAAAAACUUCAUUUCUACUGGUUUCACUAAAAUGGUGGCCCAAUGAAUGUCAGGUUAUGGACUAAUUUACCAAAUUAUAAGAACAUGAACUUAGUCUAAAGUGAAUGACAGCUACCUGAAUGUGAUGAGUCUAAGUGAUUGUCUAAGUUAAUCAGCUUCAGAAAAAACAGAGCUGCUUUGUAAGGGAAAGCAGUAAGUAUUAGGAAAAAUGGGUUUCUCUUUUUUUAUUCUUUUCUGUGUGCCACUGGGUAAGUUUCUAGCUACUCUAUGCUUUAAUUCCUAGAGUUGGACUAGAUAGAGUUUAAGGCAGUGUUCUUCAAACUGCAUCUCAGAAGACAUUAGUGGGUUAUGAAAUCAAUUUAGUGAAUCACAACCAUCAUAUUUUAAGAAAUGAAGAGCAGACAUAAAUAUAUUUAUAGCAUUAGUACUAUCCUAUUUGUAGUAUUAGAAUGGUAGAAAAUAAAAAAUAGAGAUACUUAUCUCUAUAGUAAGAU
RNAcentral lists this long non-coding RNA (1679 nucleotides) under Sus scrofa (pig). Its description in RNAcentral is "lncRNA (ENSSSCG00070029382.1)". Lineage: Eukaryota; Metazoa; Chordata; Mammalia; Artiodactyla; Suidae. The record is from RNAcentral.